GAUGAACGCUGGCGGCGUGCCUAAUACAUGCAAGUCGAGCGAACAGACGAUGAGCUUGCUCCUCUGACGUUAGCGGCGGACGGGUGAGUAACACGUGGAUAACCUACCUAUAAGACUGGGAUAACUUCGGGAAACCGGAGCUAAUACCGGAUAAUAUAUUGAACCGCAUGGUUCAAUAGUGAAAGACGGUUUUGCUGUCACUUAUAGCUGGAUCCGCGCCGCAUUAGCUAGUUGGUAAGGUAACGGCUUACCAAGGCAACGAUGCGUAGCCGACCCGAGAGGAGGGUCCGCCACACGGGAACUGAGACACGGUCCAGACCCCUAAGGGAGGGAACAGGUGGGAAUAUUUCACAAAGGGCGGAAACCUUGCCGAGCCACACCGCGUUGGGUAAGAAGGGCUUCGGGUUGGAAAACCUUUUUUUUGGGGAAAAAAAGAAGGAGAAUGAAACUCCGCGGUUCUGACGGUAACCAAAUAAGAAGCCCCGGCUAACUUCGUG
RNAcentral lists this ribosomal RNA (497 nucleotides) under uncultured bacterium. RNAcentral describes it as "partial 16S ribosomal RNA". It matches the Rfam family "Bacterial small subunit ribosomal RNA", at positions 28 to 507 of the family's 1533-position model. The record is from RNAcentral.